CCUACGGGUGGCAGCAGUGGGGAAUAUUGGGCAAUGGGCGCAAGCCUGACCCAGCAACGCCGCGUGAAGGAAGAAGGCUUUCGGGUUGUAAACUUCUUUUUAGAGGGAGGAGCACAAGACUGUACCUCUUUAAUAAACCACGGCUAACUAUGUGCGAGCAGCCGCGGUAAUACCGGGGGGGCAAGCGUUACCCGGAAUUAUUGGGUGUAAAGGGUGCGUAGACGGAAGAAUAAGGUAGUUGUGAAAUGCCUGGGCUCAACUGAGGAACUGCCACUAAUACUGUUCUCCUAGAGAGUAGGAGAGGUAGGUGGAAUUUAUGGUGUAGCGGUGAAAUGCGUAGAUAUUAGGCGGAACACC
RNAcentral lists this ribosomal RNA (357 nucleotides) under uncultured bacterium. RNAcentral's name for it is "partial 16S ribosomal RNA". It matches the Rfam family "Bacterial small subunit ribosomal RNA", at positions 338 to 710 of the family's 1533-position model. The record is from RNAcentral.